CAAUCGGCCCUUUUCAGGGCCACCAAUUAUUUUUAACGUAGAGCAAU
This is a regulatory RNA element of Trichomalopsis sarcophagae, 47 nucleotides long. It matches the Rfam family "Histone 3' UTR stem-loop". From Rfam's summary of the family: The mRNAs of metazoan histone genes lack a poly-A tail. The record is from Rfam. NCBI's taxonomy places the organism in Eukaryota, Metazoa, Arthropoda, Insecta, Hymenoptera, Pteromalidae.